GGUUUUAAUUGAAUGCUAAAAGAAUGGAAUAUCAAAGAAUAACUUUCUUAAAAUUAAAAAUUGAAAUUUUUUUAAUUUGUGUAAAAACAAUUAUAUAAAUUAAAGACAAGAAGACCCUAAGAAUUUUUAAAAUUUAAAUUAACACAUUUUUGUUUUAAUUAAAUUUUAACUGGGGCGGUUAAAAAAUAUUAAAAACUUUUUAAUUUUGAAAAUGACCCAUUAUUAAUGAAAAUAUGAUAAAAUACUCUAGGGAUAACAGCGUUAUAUUUUUUGAUAGAUCAUAUUGACAAAAAAGUUUGCGACCUCGAUGUUGGAUUAGGAUACUUUUUUAAUGAAGAUAUUAAAAUAAGAAGUUUGUUCAACUUUUAAAUUCCUACUUGAUCU
RNAcentral lists this ribosomal RNA (384 nucleotides) under Rhipicephalus decoloratus. Its description in RNAcentral is "partial large subunit ribosomal RNA". The stretch from base 252 to 384 matches the Rfam family "Bacterial large subunit ribosomal RNA", at positions 2473 to 2606 of the family's 2925-position model. Lineage: Eukaryota; Metazoa; Arthropoda; Arachnida; Ixodida; Ixodidae. The record is from RNAcentral.